RNAcentral lists this ribosomal RNA (900 nucleotides) under uncultured bacterium. RNAcentral describes it as "bacterial SSU rRNA". It matches the Rfam family "Bacterial small subunit ribosomal RNA", at positions 80 to 958 of the family's 1533-position model. The record is from RNAcentral.
CGGGGGAUGAGUAGAGUGGCGCACGGGUGAGUAACACGUAGGUAAUUUGCCUUCGGGUGGGGAAUAACAGCCGGAAACGGCUGCUAAUACCGCAUAAUGCAGCGGCACCUUAUGGUGACAGUUGUUAAAGCGGGGGAUCGCAAGACCUCGCGCCUGAAGAGAAGCCUGCGGCGGAUUAGCUUGUUGGUAGGGUAAUGGCCUACCAAGGCGACGAUCCGUAACCGGCCUGAGAGGGCGGUCGGUCACACUGACACUGACAUACGGGUCAGACUCCUACGGGAGGCAGCAGUCGGGAAUUUUGGGCAAUGGGCGAAAGCCUGACCCAGCAACGCCGCGUGAAGGAUGAAAUCCCUCGGGAUGUAAACUUCGCAAGAAUGGGAAGAAUAAGUGCGGGCUAACACCACGCACGAUGACGGUACCAUUUGUAAGCUCCGGCUAACUCCGUGCCAGCAGCCGCGGUAAUACGGGGGGAGCAAGCGUUGUUCGGAUAUACUGGGCGUAAAGGGCGCGUAGGCGGCCACGACAAGUCACUUGUGAAAUCUCCGGGCUUAACUCGGAACGGUCAAGUGAUACUGUCGGGCUGGAGUGCAGAAGGGGCAACUGGAAUUCUCGGUGUAGCGGUGAAAUGCGUAGAUAUCGAGAGGAACACCUGCGGCGAAGGCGGGUUGCUGGGCUGACACUGACGCUGAGGCGCGAAAGCCAGGGGAGCGAACGGGAUUAGAUACCCCGGUAGUCCUGGCCUUAAACGAUGAAUGCUUGGUGUCUCGGGUUACAUAGUCCCGGGGUGCCGUCGCUAACGCUCUUAGCAUUCCGCCUGGGGAGUACGGUCGCAAGACUGAAACUCAAAGGAAUUGACGGGGACCCGCACAAGCGGUGGAGCAUGUGGUUUAAUUCGACGCA